CCCUCCGAUUUUUCCCUCAGGAUAGCUAGAGUUGAACAGUUUUCUCAGGUAAAGUGAAUGACCAGAGGAAUCGGGGAUGCGUUGUCUUCGACCUAUUCUCAAGCUUUAGAUGGGUAAGAUCCACAGUGGGUACUUGAUUGAACUUCUGGGAUACAUGAACUGGCGAUGAGGCAUGAACCUACCGUCGGGCUAAGGUGCUUAAUUGCACGCUCAUCAGAUACCACAAAGGGUGUUGGUUCAUUUUGACAACAGCAGGACGUGGUCAUGGAAGUCAAAAUCCGCUAAGGAGUGUGUAGCUAUCCAUAGGCCCCUAAGUAGUUCCUUUUUGGGAUUACCUUCUAGGAUUCUAAAUAUAAACCAUAAAAAGGAACUACUUAGGGGCCUAUGGGUAAUGAUUAGAAUGG
This 404-nucleotide non-coding RNA is filed under the name Symbiodinium microadriaticum. Its description in RNAcentral is "Eukaryotic large subunit ribosomal RNA". It matches the Rfam family "Eukaryotic large subunit ribosomal RNA", at positions 957 to 1321 of the family's 3401-position model. The record is from Rfam by way of RNAcentral. Lineage: Eukaryota; Dinophyceae; Suessiales; Symbiodiniaceae.